Molecule: ribosomal RNA, 460 nt
Filed under: uncultured bacterium
Lineage: Bacteria
Description: bacterial SSU rRNA
Rfam family: Bacterial small subunit ribosomal RNA
Source: RNAcentral
AACGCGAAGAACCUUACCAGGGUUUGACAUGCUCUCUAUGAGUUCCUGAAAGGGAGCUCUUCAGUUCGGCUGGGAGAUGCACAGGUGCUGCAUGGCUGUCGUCAGCUCGUGUCGUGAGAUGUUGGCCAGAAUUUAAAUAAUAAGUUUGGCCCGCAACGAGCGCAACCCUCGUCCUCUGUUGCUAACAGGUCAAGCUGAGAACUCUGAGGAAACUGCCGGUGAUAAGCCGGAGGAAGGUGGGGAUGACGUCAAGUCCUCAUGGCCCUUACACCCUGGGCUACACACGUGUUACAAUGGUGGUGACAAUGGGUCGCGAUCCCGCAAGGGCUAGCUAAUCCCCAAAAGCCACCUCAGUUUGGAUUGUACUCUGCAACUCGAGUACAUGAAAUUGGAAUCGCUAGUAAUCGUGGAUCAGCACGCCACGGUGAAUACGUUCCCGGGCCUUGUACACACCGAUAGC